Molecule: ribosomal RNA, 301 nt
Filed under: uncultured bacterium
Lineage: Bacteria
Description: partial 16S ribosomal RNA
Rfam family: Bacterial small subunit ribosomal RNA
Source: RNAcentral
CAGCCGCCACGGUAAUACGAAGGGUGCAAGCGUUACUCGGAAUUACUGGGCGUAAAGCGUGCGUAGGUGGUGGUUUAAGUCCGUUGAGAAAGCCCUGGGCUCAACCUGGGAAUUGCAGUGGAUACUGGGUCACUAGAGUGUGGUAGAGGAUAGUGGAAUUUCCGGUGUAGCAGUGAAAUGCGUAGAGAUCGGAAGGAACAUCUGUGGCGAAGGCGACUAUCUGGGCCAACACUGACACUGAGGCACGAAAGCGUGGGGAGCAAACAGGAUUAGAUACCCGAGUAGUCCCUGUCUCUUAUAC